GACCCAGCAGCAGGCAGCUGCCCAGUCCACCUCUGUGCCAUCCCUCUGCCCUGGAGGAGUGCACGCCCCGCCACCCCGCGGCCGCUAUCCCACCCAGGGACAGCGUGGACUCCGCCAAACCCCCCGCCCAGCCACCGGAGCCUACCCGUCAUUCAUUCAUAUUACGUGCCCACCGCGGGUGCCAGGCCCUGGCCGCCCAGCAGCAGAUGGGUCAGUGCGACUCUGUGGAGCUGAAGUUUCAGCAAAGAGAGAGAAAGGGCGAGAGAACAGCUGGUGCGAUUAAUUGUACAGGAGCGUGUUCUGGAAUGCAGAGUUCCGCAGCCCCUCCCUAAGGGAAGCCGAGGUCAUUUCCAGGUGGCGCCUGCCCCACCGUCAGGGAGGCCUCUGCUCAGGUA
RNAcentral lists this long non-coding RNA (395 nucleotides) under Ictidomys tridecemlineatus (thirteen-lined ground squirrel). RNAcentral describes it as "lncRNA (ENSSTOG00000031370.1)". The record is from RNAcentral. Lineage: Eukaryota; Metazoa; Chordata; Mammalia; Rodentia; Sciuridae.